GACGGAGGGGGCAAGCGUUGUCCGGAAUUACUGGGCGUAAAGGGCGUGUAGGUGGCCUCGUGCGUCGGCGCUGAAACCUGCGGGCUUAACCCGUAGACGCGUGCCGAUACGACGGGGCUUGAGGUAGGGAGGGGGUUGCGGAAUUCCGGGUGUAGUGGUGAAAUGCGUAGAUAUCCGGAGGAACGCCUGCGGCGAAAGCGGCAACCUGGCCCUAACCUGACACUGAGACGCGAAAGCGUGGGUAGCGAACCGG
RNAcentral lists this ribosomal RNA (253 nucleotides) under uncultured bacterium. RNAcentral's name for it is "partial 16S ribosomal RNA". It matches the Rfam family "Bacterial small subunit ribosomal RNA", at positions 524 to 776 of the family's 1533-position model. The record is from RNAcentral.